Molecule: ribosomal RNA, 1372 nt
Filed under: uncultured bacterium
Lineage: Bacteria
Description: bacterial SSU rRNA
Rfam family: Bacterial small subunit ribosomal RNA
Source: RNAcentral
GAUGAACGCUGGCGGCGUGCCUAAUACAUGCAAGUCGAGCGAACGGACGAGAAGCUUGCUUCUCUGAUGUUAGCGGCGGACGGGUGAGUAACACGUGGAUAACCUACCUAUAAGACUGGGAUAACUUCGGGAAACCGUAGCUAAUACCGGAUAAUAUUUUGAACCGCAUGGUUCAAAAGUGAAAGACGGUCUUGCUGUCACUUAUAGAUGGAUCCGCGCUGCAUUAGCUAGUUGGUAAGGUAACGGCUUACCAAGGCAACGAUGCAUAGCCGACCUGAGAGGGUGAUCGGCCACACUGGAACUGAGACACGGUCCAGACUCCUACGGGAGGCAGCAGUAGGGAAUCUUCCGCAAUGGGCGAAAGCCUGACGGAGCAACGCCGCGUGAGUGAUGAAGGUCUUCGGAUCGUAAAACUCUGUUAUUAGGGAAGAACAUAUGUGUAAGUAACUGUGCACAUCUUGACGGUACCUAAUCAGAAAGCCACGGCUAACUACGUGCCAGCAGCCGCGGUAAUACGUAGGUGGCAAGCGUUAUCCGGAAUUAUUGGGCGUAAAGCGCGCGUAGGCGGUUUUUUAAGUCUGAUGUGAAAGCCCACGGCUCAACCGUGGAGGGUCAUUGGAAACUGGAAAACUUGAGUGCAGAAGAGGAAAGUGGAAUUCCAUGUGUAGCGGUGAAAUGCGCAGAGAUAUGGAGGAACACCAGUGGCGAAGGCGACUUUCUGGUCUGUAACUGACGCUGAUGUGCGAAAGCGUGGGGAUCAAACAGGAUUAGAUACCCUGGUAGUCCACGCCGUAAACGAUGAGUGCUAAGUGUUAGGGGGUUUCCGCCCCUUAGUGCUGCAGCUAACGCAUUAAGCACUCCGCCUGGGGAGUACGACCGCAAGGUUGAAACUCAAAGGAAUUGACGGGGACCCGCACAAGCGGUGGAGCAUGUGGUUUAAUUCGAAGCAACGCGAAGAACCUUACCAAAUCUUGACAUCCUUUGACAACUCUAGAGAUAGAGCCUUCCCCUUCGGGGGACAAAGUGACAGGUGGUGCAUGGUUGUCGUCAGCUCGUGUCGUGAGAUGUUGGGCUAAGUCCCGCAACGAGCGCAACCCUUAAGCUUAGUUGCCAUCAUUAAGUUGGGCACUCUAAGUUGACUGCCGGUGACAAACCGGAGGAAGGUGGGGAUGACGUCAAAUCAUCAUGCCCCUUAUGAUUUGGGCUACACACGUGCUACAAUGGACAAUACAAAGGGCAGCGAAACCGCGAGGUCAAGCAAAUCCCAUAAAGUUGUUCUCAGUUCGGAUUGUAGUCUGCAACUCGACUACAUGAAGCUGGAAUCGCUAGUAAUCGUAGAUCAGCAUGCUACGGUGAAUACGUUCCCGGGUCU